AGAGCGAACGCUGGCGGCAGGCUUAACACAUGCAAGUCGAGCGCUCCGCAAGGGGAGCGGCAGACGGGAGAGUAACACGUGGGAACGUACCCUUCAGUUCGGAACAACCCAGGGAAACUUGGGCUAAUACCGAAUACGUCCGUAAGGAGAAAGAUUUAUCGCUGAAGGAUCGGCCCGCGUCUGAUUAGCUUGUUGGUGAGGUAAUGGCUCACCAAGGCGACGAUCGAUAGCUGGUCUGAGAGGAUGAUCAGCCACAUUGGGACUGAGACACGGCCCAAACUCCUACGGGAGGCAGCAGUGGGGAAUAUUGGACAAUGGGCGCAAGCCUGAUCCAGCCAUGCCGCGUGAGUGAUGAAGGCCUUAGGGUUGUAAAGCUCUUUCGCUAGGGACGAUAAUGACGGUACCUAGACAAGAAGCCCGGCUAACUUCGUGCCAGCAGCCGC
RNAcentral lists this ribosomal RNA (443 nucleotides) under uncultured bacterium. RNAcentral describes it as "SSU rRNA". It matches the Rfam family "Bacterial small subunit ribosomal RNA", at positions 26 to 518 of the family's 1533-position model. The record is from RNAcentral.